Molecule: ribosomal RNA, 271 nt
Filed under: uncultured archaeon
Lineage: Archaea
Description: partial 16S ribosomal RNA
Rfam family: Archaeal small subunit ribosomal RNA
Source: RNAcentral
CAGCGCCACGAGUGGGGAUCACGAUUAUUGGGCCUAAAGCGUCCGUAGCUGGUUUGAUAAGUCUUUUGUGAAAUCGUUGCGCUUAACGUAACGAUGUGCAAAAGAGACUGUCAGACUUGGAACCGGGAGGGGUCAGAAGUAUUCCAGGGGGAGCGGUAAAAUGUUAUAAUCCCUGGAGGACUACCUGUGGCGAAGGCGUCUGACUAGAACGGAUUCGACAGUGAGGGACGAAAGCUGAGGGAGCAAUCCGGAUUAGAUACCCGAGUAGUCC